AGAACGAACGCUGGCGGCAGGCUUAACACAUGCAAGUCGAACGCAUCCUUCGGGAUGAGUGGCAGACGGGUGAGUAACGCGUGGGAACGUACCUUUCGGUUCGGAAUAACCCAGGGAAACUUGGGCUAAUACCGGAUACGCCGGAAACGGGAAAGAUUCAUUGCCGAAAGAUCGGCCCGCGUCGGAUUAGCUAGUUGGUGGGGUAACGGCCUACCAAGGCGACGAUCCGUAGCUGGUCUGAGAGGAUGACCAGCCACACUGGGACUGAGACACGGCCCAGACUCCUACGGGAGGCAGCAGUGGGGAAUAUUGGACAAUGGGCGCAAGCCUGAUCCAGCCAUGCCGCGUGAGUGAAGAAGGCCUUAGGGUUGUAAAGCUCUUUCAGCGGGACGAUAAUGACGGUACCCGCAGAAGAAGCCCCGGCUAACUUCGCGCCAGCAGCCGC
This 445-nucleotide ribosomal RNA is filed under the name uncultured soil bacterium. RNAcentral's name for it is "bacterial SSU rRNA". It matches the Rfam family "Bacterial small subunit ribosomal RNA", at positions 26 to 518 of the family's 1533-position model. The record is from RNAcentral.